CAUGCUUUGAAGUGUUCUUUUUUAUGUGGAAACAACUUUUUGUGUCUUACUUUAAUUUGUCUUCCUUGAUCCUUGAAUGUAGAUAUGUUCAUUUCUUCCUGUUGAAGUUCUUUUCCUAUUUCAUACAUAGAGUACUAUGGUAUUAAGCAUAACUCAAAACCUAUUGUGGGAAGGCAGGCAAAAUCAAUAUGCUUUCGUGUUAGUCCUCAUGUUAAAAUGAGGUUGUUAAGAAAAGAGGGUAUUGAAUUGUGUGUUGGUGUCAUCUUUGUUGAGCUUUUUUAUAGAAAAAAAGUUGUCUGGUGAACUUGAAUGGCUUGCUAAGUUUUGAGCAUAACCCAGAACUAUUGUGGAAAGACAUGCAAAAUCUAUAUGCUUUCUUGUUAAUCGUCAUGUUAAAAUGAGGUAGUUAAGAAAAGAGGAGAUUCACUAGUGUAUUGGUGUUGUCUUUGUUGAACUUCUAAAUAGAAAAAAGUUGUCUGAUCAACUUGAAUGGCUUGCUAAGUUUUGGAUUUUCAAGGGAAAGAUAGAUCAAUAAGCUAUGACAAUUACUUAAUUGUGUCAUAAAACUCUUUGCAUUGGCGCUGCCACAAGAAAUGCUGGAUGCAUUUAUCUACUUAUUGCCUGUUUAACCUGAUUAAUUUUUAGUGGUUCUGAUUAUUGUUGGAAGGAUGGACUUGCAGAACAAAUUACGGCUAAUGCUCCACUCUUAUUCCUAAUGUUUCUUAGUGGUUUACACCUUGUUUUAUUGCAUUUGCAUAAAGUGGUUUGUUUAAAGUACUACAUGUGCCUGCCUGCUUGAUUACUUGUGAAUAGUGUCCAAGACACCAGACUUGGGGAGUGGGAGUGGAAUUAGAGCAUGUUUUACAUAAUCAUUGAAGUAAAAUCAAAGUUGAAAGUGUUAUUUGUUUAAUUUUUGAUAAAAAUCAAUUUGAUGCUAUUAUUAGUUUAAAGUGUAAAUUUGGAAAAACAGCUGCGACUGCACAAGAAACAAAAAUAGCACGUAAACCUUGUAUAGUGAGAAAGAUAAAUUGAUAGAAUGUUUUAAAGAUGUGAAUAAUUCAUCCUUAGAAUUUCUAGAUAUAGCAGGAGCAUGAAUAGCCUUCCUUCAUAGUGGGCACGUUCAGCAAGUUUGAGGUGAUUCCGCAGGUAUAAAUAUUAUCUGUUCUUGGCUCAUUUCAACCACCUUUUUGGUAUAAGAAGAGGUGAAAGCAACUUCCUUUCUUAGUUGGAGACAAAAUGUAAAACAUGAUUUUAUUAUGAGCCAUAGUGAUGGAAGAGUUGAAGUAAUAUCAUAGGAAUCAAGUUUCAAAUCCGAUGAGACAUUAUUAGGUUAAUUCUUCCAAUUUGCCUACUUAGUGGGAAGUAGUUACUCUGUGCAUGUGCUAGUAGUAUAUACCCCGUAGAGUUGAUGGAGAUUCACGUAGGUUAGCUCGGGCAUCAACAUAAAAUAGAAGUACAUAGACCAAGUUAUUCUCAGCAAAAAGGAAGGAGGUUUACGGAUUGGGAAUCUGAAAUCCAGAAUCAAAGCUUACUUAUGAAGUGGCUAUGGAGGUUUGACUCACAAGAACAAGCUCUCUGGAAGGAAACCAUAGAGACUAGGUUUGGAAUGGAGAGUUUGUGGAUUACCAGCUUGCCCACACAACCUUAUGGGUCUGGCCUAUGGAGAUUCAUCAGAAAUCUGUGGGCCAAAUUUUUUAACAAAUGCAAAACCAAGGUAGGGAAUGGUGGAAGGACACUGUUCUGGGAAGACAGAUGAGUGGAUCAGGUGACGUUGAGAAAUAGGUUCCCUAUUUUGCCCAACCCAAGCCUUCAAAAGAGGCUACUAUCAGAGAAAUGAGAUAAUCAGGGGUGGGAUCUCAUCUCAGGUUUAGGAGACAUCUAAAUGAUGGAAAGGUCAAUAGAGUAGUUGAGCUGCUCAACAUUAUUGGGCAGUGCAAAGAUGAGGACAAUCUAUUUUGGUAUCUAGAUAAGCAAGGCAGAUAUUCAGUUGGCUCAGCUUAUAGAAGCUCACAAAGACCUGGGACUCAUAUAGGUGGAUGGCCUCGGAAAGAUGAUUUGGAAAGUCAAGAUACCACUCAAGGUAGCAUGUUUCACUUUGUUGCUAGCUGAACAGGCUGCACUUACUCAACACAACUUCAUGAAAAGAGAGAGACUGUGAAGCUGUGGCAGAUUUUUCAUCCACUUAAGGGGGGGGCAUCAGUUGGACUAUGCCAGGGAACAUCAAAGAAGUUCUAGCUAGCUGGAACAGAAAUGGGAACAAGAAAUGUUUUAAAAAGAAGAGCUUCUCUAUGCAGAAUUUGAAGCUGAAUUGUCUGGUUCCUUUUUUUUUUUUGGGUGUAAACAUGAAUAUCCUCAAGAUGUAGAGGAUAUUCCUAGUAUUUUAGAUUACUAACGACCUACAUAGGAGUUUUCUCUUUUUGCAAUUUUUGGAUAUGAGUAUUACUAGAAUACUCCGUGUAUUCUUUUGUUUGUAAUAAAGUUACCUUUUUCAAAAAUAAAAAAUAAAAAAGGGUCUUAAAUACAGUA
Long non-coding RNA from Solanum pennellii, 2526 nucleotides. RefSeq lists it as uncharacterized. The record is from RefSeq and is a predicted model, not a curated record. NCBI's taxonomy places the organism in Eukaryota, Viridiplantae, Streptophyta, Magnoliopsida, Solanales, Solanaceae. The transcript has 2 exons.